Molecule: long non-coding RNA, 1316 nt
Organism: Zophobas morio
Lineage: Eukaryota; Metazoa; Arthropoda; Insecta; Coleoptera; Tenebrionidae
Exons: 3
Source: RefSeq, a predicted model, not a curated record
ACUCAGACUUCAUGAAUGGAAAAAAAGAAACGUAACCCUAGAGUAGUGUUUGUAAUCUACUUAUCGAUCUUAUCAUUAUCAAUUUAUCACUAAACCUUUGACUUGAAAUCCGUCUACUCGGUGUCUAUUGCGUUAUCAGUUAAAAAUUAUGGAGUGAAACGCCAACCUACACGUUACAAGCUGCUGCUGCAUACUGUUGGGUGCGAUACAGAAAAAAACAGACGCCUGUUUUAGAAGUACUUCGCUUCCUAAUUCAAAAUGAAUUGAAUGUUCCCGCAUUAAAUAAGCGUAUGUAAUUAGAAUCAUGUACGCAUAUAUUUGCCGAACCGGAGUUAAUGCCAUGCCCAAGGAGCGAAGAUGGCAGCGGACCGAGGUGUUGGAUUAGUGAAUGUCCAUCCUGGACCGGAGUUCUCCGGAAUACGGAAAUCGUAGAAACAGUGUAGGGGACUGGAAGAACGUGACAAUGUCUGAAAUUUAAUGAUUACACAAUCUAUCAUAUUAUUUAUUGUGGUGUUAAUUACCACAAUUUUAGCAAGAGAAAUGAAAAACCUCAAUGGAUUCAUAGUCGUGCUACCAUAGUGGUGUCAGGUGCAGAUUGAAUUACAGGUAUACCUAUAAUAUAAUUUGGCAGGGUAACAAACUAUGACAGAUGACUGCAAAAUGGUCUUUUUUCGAAAAGAUCUUAGAAGGCCAUGGGAAGUUCCUAGCGCCGUCUACCGAUUAGGUACUACGUAUUUUUAAAAAGCACAACUUUAUUAACUACCGCUUCCUCAUUCGACCCGAAUUUAAUUUUUAAUUUCAUUGUUUUUUUUAAUUUUGAGAAAAAUCAAAAUUUUAGUACUUUGACGCCAAUUACCCGUUAAUUGUCAAUCAAUUUUAGACCAUCAACUGUACAGGCAAUCACAAAAAUGGGCGCAGAUAUCAACAUUUACUUUUCGUAAGUCGGAAGAUUAUUUAAAAAAAAUGGUUGGCCACAAUAAACAGAAUACCUAAAUGUUGAACCUUCUGGUAACUCAAGAAUGUGUGAAUUACAUUUCAGCGAAGUAGACAUUGAAAAAAGUCAUUUUCAUGACAGGUCUGGACGGUUUUUCACAUCAGCUCAUCCACAACCGAAGCAGGGUAAAUUUUAUAAUAAGGUCAGUUUAUAGAAGCGAAACUACUAAGUUUUAAUACCAAGUAAGCUGUCAUGAUUUUGUGAAAGUAUAAUGUCUGUAAUAAUACUGUUACGUUGAUUGGUGAAUAAAAUCGGCAUGGGUUAAACUCAAUAAUUUAGUUCUUAGUAACUCGGAUUUACCGAUUAAUUACAGAGCGAUUAU